Long non-coding RNA from Brassica napus (rape), 2352 nucleotides. RefSeq lists it as uncharacterized. Lineage: Eukaryota; Viridiplantae; Streptophyta; Magnoliopsida; Brassicales; Brassicaceae. The transcript has 5 exons. The record is from RefSeq and is a predicted model, not a curated record.
GAAAUCGAUCCCUCUUCCCAAAAACCACUAACGCUAACUUUUUGGGAUUCAAGGAGUUUUGAUCUCGAGCUUUAAAUAACUUUGUACUAAAGUUCAAUUUCUCUUUCAUCCUCCAUUUCACUCUAAUCUGCAAUUGGAUUAAUCUAAGGCGACCUUUUGCAUCCUCAACUCUCUUGCAAUAUAAUAUCACGAAUAUGUGGAUCGUGACUCAGCAAGCAUGAUUCUGACGAUCCCUGGUGUAGAUCCAAGCUCCACGAUGUUAAGCCUUGAUGAAUCUGACUCGUCGGAUGUUAAACUCAAAAAGGCGCGAGCAGCCGCCAGUACUUAUCGAGAAGCUAAUGAGAGUUGUUACAGACAGCUAAAGAUUGAAGGAGAUGCAUUUGAGUGUUUCAGUGGAACAGAGAAAGAGAUUGUUAAGAUGAUAAAGACAGUUAUGAUGAUGAAUGUACAAGGCAAGCCAUGCCUAGCCAAUCUAUAGGUGAUUUUUCUCCUUUUAUUUGUUGCAUUUUCAUUUCUUAGUCCGACUGUAUCCGCCUCUCAACUUAUGAAUUGUGGUUUGAGCUAGAGAAGCAACACAAGCUCAUACACGGCGUGUUUUCAGGUUUGAAUCUUUCAAGAUUCCAGUCUAAAAUCACCUCAGCAUCUUGAUCCCUACUCUAGAUUUUAUAUUCUAAAAUAUUUCAAUUGUGUUAUUAUAUGGAUUGUUACAGCCUGUGCUUCUGUUUUUUUCUUCGUAUUGACGUUUUAUUUACAGUAUUGUGCAGUUUAUCUGGAAACAUCUGAAAAUUGAUUCAUUUAGUUGUCCGGCACGAGACACAUUUAAGAAAGUCACAGAGUCAUGGGGCUUGGAAUUCACAGCUACCUGCUAGCUAGGAAAAGUAAAGGAAACGUUUUGUACUGAGACUUUUACUCAUACCAAAUAUUUUUUACUGUUUAUCUUAUAUUUAUUUGCAGUGGUUCAGACUAUAAGACAAUGGUAUGUUUAAAUGUUCGUCAACCUUGAGAGGUGGAUGGAUAAUAUGGUUUUUAAUCCUUGCUAGCUGUGGUAUGUUGAAUUGGAGAUGAUGUUUUCAAGCGAGUUGCGGCCUAAAAGGGAUCUAUUUAGUGCAUUAAUGUUUUAGAUUUAUUGGGCAUAUGAAGCUCAUCGAUGGGCAUCAUCUCCAGCAACGUCCAGUCCUUGACAUGAUCACGGGGAUGGAGAUUGUUGGUACACGUACAACCUAACGAGGAAGGUCUGGUUCAGCUCAAUGUCUUCCUCCAGAUUCCAGAGUAUUCAUUGACAACAAGGCUAGCUGUGCAUCCUAACGCGUCUGAACUGGUGAACACAUCGAAGAUAACAAAGAUUGAAACCAUCACAAUUGGUGCGAUAGUCACCUUCGUCAACAAUGAAUCCGUUCAGGUACAGCCAUAUUUCACUCCCGCCUGAAUAGUAUACUUACACCCUAAUUGUUCAACUUUUUUUUUCUCUAAUAAAUGUUGAAUGCUUAUUCCUACUGCAAAGAGACAGUUGACGAUGUCGAAAGAAAUCCUGGGUGGUAUUACAAAGGGCCAACAUCGUUGAUGUGAGAAUGUUACCAGGGUUGUGAAGUAAUGUCACUGACACAGUUACACUGACGAACCUCAAUCUACUAUUCUGAUGUUGCAAAGUAUUUUUAGUUCCCCAACUCCUCUCUGUUUUUUUUUGGUAAAACAUUUCCGUUAUAAUUACAGGUUCCGUGCUGAGAUAUAUGUGUAUGACAGUGGUGACAAAGCCAGCGUCGUACUCCUUUGAGAUGCAGGCACUGAACGUACCAGAAGACAAGCUUCUGACUUACUCGACAAUUACUUGGGAGGCUAAUGAAGAGUUGGUUGGUGAGGAAGAGGUUCCAACUCCGCAUUGUUUGGUUGAUGCAAGCGGCCAGUUACACAAGUUCAGGGUCAAAGUUAUCCCAUGAAAUUUUACAUCCAAAAGGCAGACCAUCAUAGUCACCAAAGUUUUUUGUCCUGCGCUCCUUCCACCUCGGAAAACAACAGUGGACAAUCCAAGCUAGGCGCUAGAUGUGGGUCACCGCCUCUCUCCAGUCAGUGAUGCUGCUAACUGUACCGAAGGUUCAAGAAGCUUGGGAGGUUUUCUGGUGAGGCAAAUUCAUCAACCAAGGAGAGGGAGAGGAACGAAGAGAAGAAAGACAAAUGUCCUAGGCUUAGCACCUAAUAAGACCUCCCUGCCUCCACGUACUCACUAAAUUGCCGCUUUAUGUCACCAUUGGAACAUUUAUUUCAUCUGUUGCUAUGACAAUUUUUUACUUUUGGUUGCAUUUUAAUUGCUGUUGAUUGGAAGUUCCCAUCUUAAUUUCCAAAACCUUUCCUGAACUA